RNAcentral lists this ribosomal RNA (469 nucleotides) under uncultured bacterium. Its description in RNAcentral is "partial 16S ribosomal RNA". It matches the Rfam family "Bacterial small subunit ribosomal RNA", at positions 28 to 507 of the family's 1533-position model. The record is from RNAcentral.
GACGAACGCUGGCGGCGUGCUUAACACAUGCAAGUCGAACGAUGAAGCCUUAGCUUGCUUUGGUGGAUUAGUGGCGAACGGGUGAGUAACACGUGAGCAACGUGCCCAGGACUCUGGAAUAACCGCGGGAAACCGUGGCUAAUACCGGAUAGGUGCCGAGGCCGCAUGGUCUUCGGUUGGAAAGUUUUUGCGGUUCUGGAUCGGCUCACGGCCUAUCAGCUUGUUGGUGGGGUAAUGGCCUACCAAGGCGACGACGGGUAGCCGGCCUGAGAGGGUGACCGGCCACACUGGGACUGAGACACGGCCCAGACUCCUACGGGAGGCAGCAGUGGGGAAUAUUGCACAAUGGGCGCAAGCCUGAUGCAGCAACGCCGCGUGGGGGAUGACGGCCUUCGGGUUGUAAACCUCCUUUAGUAGGGAAGAAGCGCAAGUGACGGUACCUGCAGAAAAAGCACCGGCUAACUACGUG